This 730-nucleotide ribosomal RNA is filed under the name uncultured bacterium. Its description in RNAcentral is "bacterial SSU rRNA". It matches the Rfam family "Bacterial small subunit ribosomal RNA", at positions 56 to 757 of the family's 1533-position model. The record is from RNAcentral.
UGCAGUCGAACGCGAAAUCCCGCUUCGGUGGGAAAGUAGAGUGGCAGACGGGCUGAGUAAUGCAUAGGUAAUCUACCCUCGAGUGGGGGAUAACUUAUCGAAAGGUAAGCUAAUCCCGCAUAAUGUCUCGACACAUAAGUGUUGAGAAAAAAGGGGGGGAUCUCCUUCGGGGGACCUCUCGCUUGAGGAUGAGCCUAUGUCCUAUUAGCUUGUUGGUGGGGUAAGAGCCUACCAAGGCUAUGAUGGGUAGCCGAGCUGAGAGGCUGAUCGGCCACACUGGAACUGGAACACGGUCCAGACUCCUACGGGAGGCAGCAGUGGGGAAUUUUGCGCAAUGGGCGAAAGCCUGACGCAGCGACGCCGCGUGAGGGAUGAAGGUCCUCGUGAUCGUAAACCUCUGUCAGGAAGGAUUAAAUGUACAGGUGUCAAUACCAUUUGUACUUGACUUAACUUCCAGAGGAAGCCCCGGCUAACUACGUGCCAGCAGCCGCGGUAAUACGUAGGGGGCAAGCGUUACUCGGAUUUACUGGGCGUAAAGCGAGUGUAGGCGGUUAAGUAAGUCAGAGGUGAAAUCCCUCAGCUCAACUGAGGAACUGCCUUUGAUACUGCUUGACUUGAGGACAGGAGAGGAAAGUGGAAUUCCCGGUGUAGCGGUGGAAUGCGUAGAUAUCGGGAGGAACACCAGAGGCGAAGGCGGCUUUCUGGACUGAUCCUGACGCUGAGACUCGAA